AGCUGGUAAAAUGGAACCAAAU
This 22-nucleotide non-coding RNA is filed under the name Callorhinchus milii (elephant shark). The record is from RNAcentral. Lineage: Eukaryota; Metazoa; Chordata; Chondrichthyes; Chimaeriformes; Callorhinchidae. RNAcentral also lists the same sequence under 40 other names.